AUUGAACGCUGGCGGCAGGCCUAACACAUGCAAGUCGAGCGGAUGAAGGGAGCUUGCUCCUGGAUUCAGCGGCGGACGGGUGAGUAAUGCCUAGGAAUCUGCCUGGUAGUGGGGGAUAACGUCCGGAAACGGGCGCUAAUACCGCAUACGUCCUGAGGGAGAAAGUGGGAGAUCUUCGGACCUCACGCUAUCAGAUGAGCCUAGGUCGGAUUAGCUAGUUGGUGGGGUAAAGGCCUACCAAGGCGACGAUCCGUAACUGGUCUGAGAGGAUGAUCAGUCACACUGGAACUGAGCCACGGUCCAGACUCCUACGGGAGGCAGCAGUGGGGAAUAUUGGACAAUGGGCGAAAGCCUGAUCCAGCCAUGCCGCGUGUGUGAAGAAGGUCUUCGGAUUGUAAAGCACUUUAAGUUGGGAGGAAGGGCAGUAAGUUAAUACCUUGCUGUUUUGACGUUACCAACAGAAUAAGCACCGGCUAACUUCGUG
This 484-nucleotide ribosomal RNA is filed under the name uncultured bacterium. RNAcentral's name for it is "partial 16S ribosomal RNA". It matches the Rfam family "Bacterial small subunit ribosomal RNA", at positions 30 to 507 of the family's 1533-position model. The record is from RNAcentral.